Molecule: ribosomal RNA, 729 nt
Filed under: Escherichia coli
Lineage: Bacteria; Pseudomonadati; Pseudomonadota; Gammaproteobacteria; Enterobacterales; Enterobacteriaceae
Description: partial 23S ribosomal RNA
Rfam family: Bacterial large subunit ribosomal RNA
Source: RNAcentral
GGCUAAAUACUCCUGACUGACCGAUAGUGAACCAGUACCGUGAGGGAAAGGCGAAAAGAACCCCGGCGAGGGGAGUGAAAAAGAACCUGAAACCGUGUACGUACAAGCAGUGGGAGCACGCUUAGGCGUGUGACUGCGUACCUUUUGUAUAAUGGGUCAGCGACUUAUAUUCUGUAGCAAGGUUAACCGAAUAGGGGAGCCGAAGGGAAACCGAGUCUUAACUGGGCGUUAAGUUGCAGGGUAUAGACCCGAAACCCGGUGAUCUAGCCAUGGGCAGGUUGAAGGUUGGGUAACACUAACUGGAGGACCGAACCGACUAAUGUUGAAAAAUUAGCGGAUGACUUGUGGCUGGGGGUGAAAGGCCAAUCAAACCGGGAGAUAGCUGGUUCUCCCCGAAAGCUAUUUAGGUAGCGCCUCGUGAAUUCAUCUCCGGGGGUAGAGCACUGUUUCGGCAAGGGGGUCAUCCCGACUUACCAACCCGAUGCAAACUGCGAAUACCGGAGAAUGUUAUCACGGGAGACACACGGCGGGUGCUAACGUCCGUCGUGAAGAGGGAAACAACCCAGACCGCCAGCUAAGGUCCCAAAGUCAUGGUUAAGUGGGAAACGAUGUGGGAAGGCCCAGACAGCCAGGAUGUUGGCUUAGAAGCAGCCAUCAUUUAAAGAAAGCGUAAUAGCUCACUGGUCGAGUCGGCCUGCGCGGAAGAUGUAACGGGGCUAAACCAUGCAC